Nerophis lumbriciformis (worm pipefish) is the source of this 700-nucleotide non-coding RNA. The record is from RefSeq and is a predicted model, not a curated record. NCBI's taxonomy places the organism in Eukaryota, Metazoa, Chordata, Actinopteri, Syngnathiformes, Syngnathidae.
GGACCAAGUCAGAGUACUCCAAACUCUCUGCGACCUCGUUAGUGACAAAUACAGCGACGGCCCUCCUCAACAAUCGGGCCAGCAGGAGCUCUUUCCUGAGAGCGGCGUAUUCAUGUCCUCGUUCCGCCUUGCUGCCAUGAGUCAUGCUUCAAAGCCCAAUUGCAUGCGUUUAUUCCACGCACUUUUUGACCACUUUUUUACAGUUGAGGAGUGUCAAAAUGCAGGAACAGGAAAGCGCAUCCUUGACCGGAAAAAAGUUGAAGAAAUCCUAACGUAUGUCCUGAGAUGCGGUACCCUUCCUGAUUGGGACAAUAUUGAGGAGGCCAAGCUCAAGCAAGCUUUGGUAAACAAAUGUUGGGCAAGAGCAGGUUUUAAGUAGGCCCUUGUACCUGCCAAGUUCAUUCUGGGGUAGGAUGUUUCCUUUGUAAACAUGUUGAUAUUUUGGUCUGGGGUUGCGCAGUAUAUAUUGUAUAAAAAUGCCCUAUGAUGUAGCUUUUAGUACCACGUUAUACUGUGACAAUGCAUAUUGAGCUGUGCUGUGUCUCGCAAAUUUGGCACUGAUGCAACCUCACUAACAAGCUAGCGGCUAAUAUCCCUUCACAGUACAAAGCUGUUUCCAAAUAAAAAACGGAAAUGACGCAGUAUGUUACUGCUUACAUAAUCAGGUAUAUUAGUAGCUUUUGUAACCAAUUUCAAAAUG